RNAcentral lists this ribosomal RNA (465 nucleotides) under uncultured bacterium. RNAcentral describes it as "partial 16S ribosomal RNA". It matches the Rfam family "Bacterial small subunit ribosomal RNA", at positions 338 to 795 of the family's 1533-position model. The record is from RNAcentral.
CCUACGGGUGGCAGCAGUGGGGAAUAUUGCGCAAUGGGCGAAAGCCUGACGCAGCGACGCCGCGUGAGGGAUGAAGGUCUUCGGAUCGUAAACCCCUGUCAGCAGGGAAGAACGGUCACUGUGCUAAUCAGCAGUGAAUUGACGGUACCUGCAAAGGAAGCACCGGCUAACUCCGUGCCAGCAGCCGCGGUAAUACGGAGGGUGCGAGCGUUAAUCGGAAUUACUGGGCGUAAAGCGCGCGUAGGCGGGAUGUCAAGUCAAGGGUGAAAUCCCCGAGCUCAACGUGGGAACUGCCGUUGAAACUGGCAUACUGGAGGGUGUGAGAGGAAAGUGGAAUUCGUGGUGUAGGGGUGAAAUCCGUAGAUAUCUGGAGGAACAUCAGUGGCGAAGGCGACUAUCUGGCACAUAACUGACGCUGAGGAGCGAAAGCGUGGGUAGCAAACAGGAUUAGAUACCCUUGUAGUC